RNAcentral lists this transfer RNA (69 nucleotides) under Hoplobatrachus rugulosus (rugose frog). RNAcentral's name for it is "tRNA-Gly". It matches the Rfam family "tRNA". From Rfam's summary of the family: Transfer RNA (tRNA) molecules are approximately 80 nucleotides in length. Their secondary structure includes four short double-helical elements and three loops (D, anti-codon, and T loops). Lineage: Eukaryota; Metazoa; Chordata; Amphibia; Anura; Dicroglossidae. The record is from RNAcentral. RNAcentral also lists the same sequence under 1 other name.
AUUCUCUUAAUACAACUAGUAUAAGUGACUUCCAAUCACUCAGCCUUGGUUCAACCCCAAGAGAGAAUA